CUUGGCCCCUGCCCCAUAACACUUUUUAGUCUUAGACAAUUUGUGCAUUUAAGUUUUUAAUUAUAGUACAAAAGAAAGUCACUGAGAAAACUUAUAAAAUCAGCUUAUGCAACAUUUAUAAAAGGCUAUGGAGUAGUUCAUAUGCUGAAGUAUGAUAAAAUGGUUUGUGAGCAAUACAGUACAAUAUCUGCUUAUCAGUGAUACAAUGUAAAGUCUGUAAUGAAGUUAGACUGUUUCCCCAAAUUUCUACGUUAGGUGCUGUGAACUUUUUUUCACUUUAACCAUCAUAAUUUUCUCCCCUUCCCGCCAAUCUAAAUCUGUCAUGACAUAGGCAUCAACUGUAUUGUCACCGUGUAGAAUAAGAACCAAAUUUCUCAAUAAGCAACUUCCCCUGUCACAGUGAGACAAUAUGCUAUGCUCAUUUUUCUAGAUUCCCUAGGAAAAGAUAUUUUUAAUCCAGUGACAGAUAUUUUUACUUUCUAAAGGUAGAGCUAACCUCUCAUACCAUUUUAAGAAAUAUUACAAAUGCAAAUUUGCUUCUAGAACAAAAAUGUUGAUUUCUUAGACUUUCAGAAAUAUUGAGAAGAGGCUUUUUAACAUUUCUGAUACAUCCAACAGCUCAAGUCUGUGAUAAAUUAAGCACCAAAGUCAACACUGAUAGUACCUGCAGAGACUUAACAUUUCUCUAAAAUACUCCCCACCAUUUAAAUUCAUUCAUGUUAACAUUUAUUAUAAUUUGAGGAGGUACGUGGGUAAAAGCUGUGUUAUUUCAUGAACAUUUCCUUAAAUAUUAUUAAAUGGUCAUUCUAGCUAGCCACUGUUUCAGCUUUCAGACCAAUUCUGUUUAUUGGUCUCUAAUAAGCUAUACUGCCUUCAAAAUAUUUAUGCCUCUUGAGUGUUAAUUAUCCUUCCUCCACCUGGGCAGGUACCCAAAACUGGCACCAGAGUGUGGCAUCUUACACCGCUGCUACUGAUAAUCAUAGAAUCACAGUCAAGCAGAGACCUUCAUUUUACAGACCCCUUUCCCCAGUGCUGUGUGGAGGUUGGAUUUGAAGAGGAGAAAGCUGGAAGCAAGAGACCAGUAGAGCUGUUGCCGUGGUACAGGAACUUCUUUCAUGCUUCUCAAGUUUAACUUCCUACAAAUUUCUAAGACUACUUCAAGAUUAAGUGUAAGUGAGCAGUACUUGAUGGGUAGGUGUCUUCCAUCAUUAAGACUAAAUCAUUCCUUUCAUUAUCACCAUACUUUGCUUGUUGCAGGAUUUGGAAACAAACAUUUCUCUUCUUAGGGAAGGACCGUGGAGUUUAUCCAGUCAAGGUCCCACAGAGGGAGUUAGAGUUGCAGUAACCUGGCGUGAGUAAGCCCUGAUUCCAGGUGGUGAUGGGGGUUGAGUUUCACAUUCUGCUUUAUUUGAACAAUAUGUGAAAAAGAGUCACUAAAAAUAAGAACAGACUGGGCUUUGUUGCAGCUGAGUGGCCUUGCAAAUCUCUGUAAAGAGGAAUUAUAGGACAUAAAGGAUCUGAUUCUGGGAUAUGAUCCAAUUGCCCUGUGAAUGGAAGUAAAAUAUCCUUUUUAAGAGCACUGAAGUUCUGGGAUUUUGGGGGAAUAGUCACUUCUGUGAGAUGUGGAUUGUGUCCAGGGACUGUAACCUGAGAGGAAACAAGAAAGUUAUCUGAGUGAUUUCAGAUGUUUUGUGGUGCCAACAGUGAAAAACACUGAUAUCCACCACUAAAAUGCAGCCUUUAUGAAACACAUGUAACAACCUGCCAGGUCUCCCCAGGCUAGAAACAGCUUCAGUCCUGCUCGGUGAAUGAGUUACCAAGUGCCUACUGAUAUGGACCGCAGUUGUUAAUGCUGUUGCUGAGAAUUACAAAGUGAAAUAAAGACAGUUCCUUUAUCUGAAGAUGUAAGUCAGAAGCAAUAGACUGAUUUCUGUCCCCAUCGUUUUCAUGGAGCGCAAAGGCACCACCAAACUUUUCACUUAGAAGGAAGUGAUUGUUUUACCAGAAGAGAUUAUUUAUUUCUAUAUGCUGAAAUCAAAAAUUGAAAAAAGACCAGAAGAUCCAAAGAGAUGCAGAGACAGCCAGCACUAUGACAUCAGG
Globicephala melas (long-finned pilot whale) is the source of this 2100-nucleotide long non-coding RNA. RefSeq lists it as uncharacterized. Lineage: Eukaryota; Metazoa; Chordata; Mammalia; Artiodactyla; Delphinidae. The record is from RefSeq and is a predicted model, not a curated record.